UUAAUUCGAGAGUUUGAUCCUGGCUCAGGACGAACGCUGGCGGCGUGCCUAAUACAUGCAAGUCGAACGAACUCUGGUAUUGAUUGGUGCUUGCAUCAUGAUUUACAUUUGAGUGAGUGGCGAACUGGUGAGUAACACGUGGGAAACCUGCCCAGAAGCGGGGGAUAACACCUGGAAACAGAUGCUAAUACCGCAUAACAACUUGGACCGCAUGGUCCGAGCUUGAAAGAUGGCUUCGGCUAUCACUUUUGGAUGGUCCCGCGGCGUAUUAGCUAGAUGGUGGGGUAACGGCUCACCAUGGCAAUGAUACGUAGCCGACCUGAGAGGGUAAUCGGCCACAUUGGGACUGAGAC
RNAcentral lists this ribosomal RNA (353 nucleotides) under Lactiplantibacillus plantarum 2165. Its description in RNAcentral is "bacterial SSU rRNA". It matches the Rfam family "Bacterial small subunit ribosomal RNA", at positions 1 to 325 of the family's 1533-position model. The record is from RNAcentral. Lineage: Bacteria; Bacillati; Bacillota; Bacilli; Lactobacillales; Lactobacillaceae.